UUUUUUCUGUGUCUAUCCCAUAGGAUUGGAAAGAAGCUUUCAAAGAUUCUAAUUGGAAGGGAGCAAUGAUUGAAGAAAUGAAAGCAUUGGCUAAAGAUGAGACAUGGGAGUUGAUGUCUCUUCCACCUGAAAAAAAAAAAACAGUUGGUUGCAAAUGGGUGUUCACUGUGAAACACAAAGCAGAUGGAUCAAUUGAAAGAUUCAAAGCCAGACUAAUUGCUAAGGGAUACACUCAAACCUAUGAAAUAGAUUACCAGGAGACAUUUGCCCCAUGUUGCGAAAAUGAACUCAAUCAGAGUAUUGCUAUCUUGCACUGCCAAUCUUGACAGGGACCUACAGCAAUUUGAUGUGAAAAAUGCAUUCUUUUAUGGAGACUUGGAGGAGGAAGUGUAUAUAGAAAUCCCUCAUGGAUUUGCUGAUGAAAUAACACAAGGAAAGGUGUGCAGGGUAAAAAAGGCUUUAUAUGGGUUGAAACACUCACUCAGAGCUUGGUUUGAUCGAUUCAGCAGAGCUAUGAUUUCCUUUGACUAUCAACAGAGAAAUGCUGACCAUACUUUAUUUAACAGACAUCACAAAGGUAAAAUUACUCUUCUCAUAGUCUAUGUUGAUGACAUAGUAAUGAUAGGGGAUGACACUGAUGAGACGACUCCGCUGAAAAAACUUUUGGCUCAGGAAUUCGAAAUUAAAGAUUUAGAAAAACUACAGUAUUUCCAGGGAAUCAAGGUUGCCAGGUCAAAAAUAGGCACUUGUUAGAAGUAGCCAGAUCUCUCCUUUUCACUAUGAAUCUUCCAAAAACCUAUUGGGGAGAUGCAGUCUUAAUCGCAGCUUAUCCCAUUAAUAGAAUGCCUCUCAAAACUCUUACCUUUAAAAACCCUUUAGAGGUGUUGCAAGAGAAAAAUGUUUAUACUGUUCCACCAAAGGUGUUUGGAUGCACGUGUUUUGUUCAUACUAGGAUAGGUGGGAAGCUUGAUCCAAAGGCUCUUAAAUGUGUGUUUGUUAGGUAAUCUCCCAUACAGAAGGGUUACAAAUUUUAUCACCCUCCAUCUAGAAAAUAUUUUAUAAGUAUGGAUGUUACAUUUAGAGAGACUAAACCUUACUUCAAUACUACCCCAUCACCUCUUCAUGGGGAGGAUAAUGAGAGAGAAGAGAUGAUUCCUAGUCCUAUAACUCUAGAACGUUUUGCUCUAGAUGAGAUUACUAUAUUGAGAAGACUAUUGAUGAUCAUGAAACUACUAUACAGGAGAAACUAUCGGUGACUAAAUUGGGCGUUUGGAUAAACCAGAUUUAAGGAGAUACUCAAGAAGAGACAAACCAGAAACAGAAAAAGCCAUUGUGCAGCAUACUCAAUGUCAUGAAUCUUCCUCUUCUCCAUCUGGUGAGUCAUUUCUAAACCUUGAGCCCAUUGAUGAUCUAAAUAAACCAAUUGCUUAAAGAAAUAGAGUUAGGCCUUGCACAAACCUAUAAAGCCUCUGCCUUAUCUAUUUUUUCUGUGUCUAUCCCAUAGGAUUGGAAAGAAGCUCUCAAAGAUUUUAAUUGGAAGGGAGCAAUUAUUAAAGAAAUGAAAGCAUUGGCUAAAGAUGAGACAUGGGAGUUCAUGUCUCUUCCACCUGAAAAAAAAAACAGUUGGUUUCAAAUGGGUGUUCACUGUGAAACACAAAGCAGAUGGAGCAAUUGAAAGAUUCAAAGCCAGACUAUUUGCCAAGGGAUACACUCAAACCUAUGAAAUGGAUUAUCAGGAGACAUUUGCCCCUGUUAUCAAAAUGAACUCAAUCAGAGUAUUGUUAUCUUGGACUGCCAAUCUUGACUGGGACCUACAGCAAUUUGAUGUGAAAAUGCAUUCUUUUAUGGAGACUUGGAGGAAGAAGUAUAUAUGGAAAUCCCUCCUGGAUUUGCUGAUGAAAUAACACAAGUAAAGGUGUGCAGGCUAAAAAAGGCUUUAUAUGGGUUGAAACACUCACUCAGAGCUUGGUUUGAUCGAUUCAGCAGAGCUAUGAUUUCCUUUGACUAUCAACAGAUAAAUGCUGACCAUACUUUAUUUAUCAGACAUCACAAAGGUAAAAUUACUCUUCUCAU
Molecule: long non-coding RNA, 2073 nt
Filed under: Manihot esculenta (cassava)
Lineage: Eukaryota; Viridiplantae; Streptophyta; Magnoliopsida; Malpighiales; Euphorbiaceae
Description: long non-coding RNA (MESC_LNC000365)
Source: RNAcentral